AGUGAACGCUGGCGGUAGGCCUAACACAUGCCAGUCGAACGGCAGCACAGUAAGAGCUUGCUCUUACGGGUGGCGAGUGGCGGACGGGUGAGGAAUACAUCGGAAUCUACUUUUUCGUGGGGGAUAACGUAGGGAAACUUACGCUAAUACCGCAUACGACCUACGGGUGAAAGCAGGGGAUCUUCGGACCUUGCGCGAUUGAAUGAGCCGAUGUCGGAUUAGCUAGUUGGCGGGGUAAAGGACCACCAAGGCGACGAUCCGUAGCUGGUCUGAGAGGAUGAUCCGCCACACUGGAACUGAGACACGGUCCAGACUCCUACGGGAGGCAGCAGUGGGGAAUAUUGGACAAUGGGCGCAAGCCUGAUCCAGCCAUACCGCGUGGGUGAAGAAGGCCUUCGGGUUGUAAAGCCCUUUUGUUGGGAAAGAAAAGCAGCAGGUUAAUACCCCGCUGUUCUGACGGUACCCAAAGAAUAAGCACCGGCUAACUUCGUG
RNAcentral lists this ribosomal RNA (492 nucleotides) under uncultured bacterium. RNAcentral's name for it is "partial 16S ribosomal RNA". It matches the Rfam family "Bacterial small subunit ribosomal RNA", at positions 29 to 507 of the family's 1533-position model. The record is from RNAcentral.